Molecule: ribosomal RNA, 253 nt
Filed under: uncultured bacterium
Lineage: Bacteria
Description: partial 16S ribosomal RNA
Rfam family: Bacterial small subunit ribosomal RNA
Source: RNAcentral
UACGGAGGGGGCAAGCGUUGUUCGGAUUUACUGGGCGUAAAGGGCGCGUAGGCGGCCCGACGCGUCCGGGGUGAAAUGCCGCAGCCCAACUGCGGCACUGCCUCGGGUACGGUCGGGCUGGAGUGGUGCAGGGGUCCGCGGAACAUCCGGUGGAGCGGUGAAAUGCGUUGAGAUCGGAUGGAACUCCGGCGGCGAAAGCGGCGGACUGGACACCAACUGACGCUGAGGCGCGAAAGCCAGGGGAGCGAACGGG